GUCCCUGUAGCUCAAUAGGAUAGAGCAACUGCCUUCUAAGCAGUAGGUUCCGAGUUCGAGUCUCGGCAGGGACG
This 74-nucleotide transfer RNA is filed under the name Dehalococcoidia bacterium. Its description in RNAcentral is "tRNA-Arg". It matches the Rfam family "tRNA". From Rfam's summary of the family: Transfer RNA (tRNA) molecules are approximately 80 nucleotides in length. Their secondary structure includes four short double-helical elements and three loops (D, anti-codon, and T loops). The record is from RNAcentral. Lineage: Bacteria; Bacillati; Chloroflexota; Dehalococcoidia.